Long non-coding RNA from Chenopodium quinoa (quinoa), 1176 nucleotides. RefSeq lists it as uncharacterized. Lineage: Eukaryota; Viridiplantae; Streptophyta; Magnoliopsida; Caryophyllales; Amaranthaceae. The record is from RefSeq and is a predicted model, not a curated record. The transcript has 3 exons.
UAGUGUAUUUAUAUAUUUAUCCUCGUUAAUAUGGCUAAGGUUAUUUUGUUCUUCUUUCUCUUUAAACGCCCCUUUCUUUUUAUUUCUCCUUCCUCAUUUGCCUCUGUGCUCUAUUAAAGCGACCUAUGAGUUCUCCAUUGAAGCGCGUACUAAACUUUCUCUCUUCCAUUAAAUCAGUUUAUAAGUUAAGCAGGCUUCACCCCCGGUGAUGUUGUGGGUAAGCAUGAAUUCGGGCGUUCAUCAAUCAUUAUAGACUAAAACCCGUGCAUUUGCUGAAGAAAUAUAUGCUCGUGCUCUUCAUAAGAAAAUUUGGUUAAUGUCAAACCUACGUGGAACCUUGGUCCUUCUGCGAUAUAUUGGCAGAGUUGCAGAUAAACUGACAUUAUAUGCAAAAGAUUUAUAUCAAACUGGAAAGGUUUUUUUUUUUUCCCUUAUAUUCUCUAUACAAUUUGGUCUUAACAGCUCAGAUGCUUCAACCUAAACUAAGGUUCUGAUGCUGUAUGCUUUUCUGUACAGAUUGAUCAUGAUCAAUUGUUGGAGUAUCUACAAUAAGGAUUUAGGUACUCUAACCGGAAUGUCAUGAAUCAUAUUCAUACGCACCUAAAACAAGAUCGCAUGCAUAACACACAAGAAUCACAUAAUUAUACCUUUGAAGCAUGAUCUCCACGUAGCAAGUUGAUUGACAAUUAGGGAGAGAAUAGAGCCCCAAUCGUUGCUCCUCUACUUAGUUCAAGGGAAUCGAAUAAGUUGUCCACCAAUACUAGAUUGGUUAGAUGAAGGGGAAACACCAUGAUCACCACCUUUGCGGACAACUGGCCACCGCCACAAACCACCACAAACCACCACCACCAUCGAACACACACCGGCGCACGGAGAGGAGUAAGAGCCGUGAGAGAGGGGAGAGUUUGAGAUAGGCAUGGCUUGUGUUUGCUAAUUAGGGUUUGAUAUAUGAUCACUGAAUUGUGUUACUCAAUCCUAGGCACCUAGUCUAUUUAUAAUCAUAUUAUAAUUAGACUAGGAAGUAAAGCCCAUAUCCUCUAAUCUACUCCAUAUGGCCGGCCACCUAGAUGGAGAAGGCCCAUCAUAGGCCUCUUCCUAUUAUGCUCAAUCUAGGCCCUUUGUCUGACCUUAUAGGAUCCGUUCAGUUGGGCUUUAGACUAUUUUACUAGCCCAAAG